RNAcentral lists this small RNA (76 nucleotides) under Flavobacterium sp. KMS. Its description in RNAcentral is "Flavo-1 RNA". It matches the Rfam family "Flavo-1 RNA". Lineage: Bacteria; Pseudomonadati; Bacteroidota; Flavobacteriia; Flavobacteriales; Flavobacteriaceae. The record is from Rfam by way of RNAcentral.
UUUUAGCCCUGAUGGGAACGGCAUCCUUUUAUGGCGGGGUUUGCCAUAAAAGAUAGAGUGUACAGCAGGAGAAUGC